AAACCAACAGGGAUUGCCUCAGUAACGGCGAGUGAAGCGGCAAAAGCUCAAAUUUGAAAUCCUUCGGGAAUUGUAAUUUGAAGGUGGCUCAAGCAACCCCAAAAGUUCCUAAGUCCAUUGGAAAAUGGCGCCAUAGAGGGUGAUAGCCCCGUCUGGAACACUUUUGAGGCCUAUCUUGGACCACCAAAGAGUCGAGUUGUUUGGGAAUGCAGCUCUAAGUGGGUGGUAAAUUCCAUCUAAAGCUAAAUAUUGGCGAGAGACCGAUAGCGAACAAGUACAGUGAUGGAAAGAUGAAAAGCACUUUGAAAAGAGAGUGAAAAAGUACGUGAAAUUGUUGAAAGGGAAGGGCUUGCAAGCAGACACAACUUUUUGUUGGGCCAGCAUCGGGGCGAGGGGGGUCAAAAAUGCAUGGGAAUGUAGCUCAUUGAGUAUUAUAUCCCAUGUUUCAUCCCCAUCUCAUCCCGAGGCCUGCGAUUCUAGGAUGCUG
RNAcentral lists this ribosomal RNA (487 nucleotides) under Metschnikowia gelsemii. RNAcentral describes it as "eukaryotic LSU rRNA". It matches the Rfam family "Eukaryotic large subunit ribosomal RNA", at positions 62 to 573 of the family's 3401-position model. Lineage: Eukaryota; Fungi; Ascomycota; Pichiomycetes; Serinales; Metschnikowiaceae. The record is from RNAcentral.